GAGUGAAGCGGGAAGAGCUCAGGUUGUAAAUCCGGCCCUUUUGGGCCCGAAUUGUAGUCUGGAGAGGCGACGCCAGCCGCUGUCCGCGGCCAAGUCUGAUUGGAAAUGAGCAUCAAGGAGGGUGAUAAUCCCGUUCGGGCCGCGGUAUCAAUCAGCGCGCGGAAGGCGCGCUUUCGACGAGUCGAGUUGCUUGGGAUUGCAGCUCAAAGUGGGUGGUAAACUCCAUCCAAAGCUAAACACGGGGGGGAGACCGAUAGCGAACAAGUACCGUGAGGGAAAGAUGCAAAGAACUUUGAAAAGAGAGUUAAAGAGUGCCUGAAAUUGCUGAAAGGGAAGCGAAGGAAAGCAGUGUCGUCGGUAGCGCUUCUCCGUGGCCCCCUUGGGGGCUCGGCUUGCGCUCCGGCGUGGCCAGGGACGGGUGGAUCUCUCUCGCGGGAUGCUGCGCGCCCGGAAGGUAGCUCUCUUCGGAGUGUGAAUACCGGCGCGUUUUGUCG
This 494-nucleotide ribosomal RNA is filed under the name Distromium didymothrix. RNAcentral's name for it is "eukaryotic LSU rRNA". It matches the Rfam family "Eukaryotic large subunit ribosomal RNA", at positions 91 to 503 of the family's 3401-position model. Lineage: Eukaryota; Phaeophyceae; Dictyotales; Dictyotaceae. The record is from RNAcentral.